This 76-nucleotide transfer RNA is filed under the name marine sediment metagenome. RNAcentral's name for it is "tRNA-Lys". It matches the Rfam family "tRNA". Rfam says of the family: Transfer RNA (tRNA) molecules are approximately 80 nucleotides in length. Their secondary structure includes four short double-helical elements and three loops (D, anti-codon, and T loops). The record is from RNAcentral.
GGACCCCUAGCUCAACAGGUAGAGCGGCUGUCUCUUAAACAGCAGGUUCAGGGUUCGAGUCCCUGGGGGUUCACCA